AGCUAGCUCAUUCGGUUAGAGCAUCAGAUUCUUAAUCUGACUGUAACGGGUUCGAAUCCCGUGCU
This 65-nucleotide transfer RNA is filed under the name Aporhodopirellula rubra. RNAcentral describes it as "tRNA-Lys". It matches the Rfam family "tRNA", at positions 5 to 66 of the family's 71-position model. Rfam says of the family: Transfer RNA (tRNA) molecules are approximately 80 nucleotides in length. Their secondary structure includes four short double-helical elements and three loops (D, anti-codon, and T loops). Lineage: Bacteria; Pseudomonadati; Planctomycetota; Planctomycetia; Pirellulales; Pirellulaceae. The record is from RNAcentral.